Molecule: ribosomal RNA, 346 nt
Filed under: uncultured bacterium
Lineage: Bacteria
Description: bacterial SSU rRNA
Rfam family: Bacterial small subunit ribosomal RNA
Source: RNAcentral
AAUCAACGCUGGCGGCGUGCCUCAGACAUGCAAGUCGAACGCGAAAGUUUCCUUCGGGGAACAAGUAGAGUGGCGCACGGGUGAGUAACACGUAGGUAAUCUACCUUUGGAUGGGGAAUAACAACCGGAAACGGUUGCUAAUACCGCAUAAUGCAGCGGCACCUAAUGGUGACAGUUGUUAAAGCGGGGGAGUCGAAAGACCUCGCGUCUGAAGAGGAGCCUGCGGCGGAUUAGCUAGNGGUAAGGUAAUGGCUUACCAAGGCGACGAUCCGUAACCGGCCUGAGAGGGCGGGUCGGUCACACUGACACUGACAUACGGGUCAGACUCCUACGGGAGGCAGCAGUC